AGUGACGUCAAAUACAUCAUGCCCCUUAUGACCUGGGCUACAAACGUGAUACAAUGGCUGGAACAAAGGGAUGCGAAGCAGUGAUGUGGAGCGAAACCCAUAAAAACAGUCUCAGUUCGGAUUGAAGUCUGCAACUCGACUUCAUGAAGUCGGAAUCGCUAGUAAUCGCGGAUCAGAACGCCGCGGUGAAUACGUUCUCGGGGUUU
Molecule: ribosomal RNA, 206 nt
Filed under: uncultured Acholeplasma sp.
Lineage: Bacteria; Bacillati; Mycoplasmatota; Mollicutes; Acholeplasmatales; Acholeplasmataceae
Description: partial 16S ribosomal RNA
Rfam family: Bacterial small subunit ribosomal RNA
Source: RNAcentral